This is a non-coding RNA of Pogona vitticeps (central bearded dragon), 872 nucleotides long. NCBI's taxonomy places the organism in Eukaryota, Metazoa, Chordata, Lepidosauria, Squamata, Agamidae. The record is from RefSeq and is a predicted model, not a curated record.
UGUGAUUCUGAAACCACCUUCCUAACCUCUCUUCCUCUUUUCCUUUUGUUCUGACUCCUAUAAACCUAAUGAAUAAUGCCAGAUCUCAGGAGCCCAUGAUUACGACCAUGGCAGGACCUCUUCCUUCUGAUGCCAGUCUUGCUGGUGCCAUCUAGCUGUGCAGGAAAUGCUUGCAAAACUAAGGAAAUCUGGGAUGGGAAGUUCUUGCCAGGAGUCUCCCCUCCAAUGUGGGGACCUGGCUGGCAGCCCAAGUGGGCCAGAAAGGUGUUUGUUGGUCUGACCCAGAAGGAGACCCCUUCCAGAGGAGCAGGGUAAGAAUCAGACGGGCCAGAAGGAACUACUCAGUCCAAGUUUGCUUCAUUUUCUUCAUUCUGCUAGUUUGAUUUUUGUGUCCAACUCCUCAAGCAAAAGGAACAUCAGACACAAGGGGGAACUCCAGUAAACAAGCAAACAUUUUCCCAAACACGUGCAGAAUUGCAACCCUUUCAAAACAAUGAUGGCUAUUAAACGCAUGAUCUACAAUGUAUAUUGGUUUUACUGGCAAUUUCAGCUGGUCACAAUGACUUAUCUCAUGGAUCCCUUUGAAUGGUGGGUCUUCCACAGUUUUCUCCUUGUUACCUUUAUGGUGUCAGCAUAUGUCUUUUAUGCUGUUGUUCCUCUGAUCUACCUUGUUUUGGAGCAUGUCCGUCAUCUAUUUGGCUUACAAUCAGAAUCAACCAUUCCAACUAUUAUGUGAACUUGCCAUCCAUAAUAUUGACUGUUUUCUUCCUGCCUGCUAUGUUGUUUGAUAUUUUUAAAAAGACAUAUGCUUAAAACCUAUGGAGACAUUCUGAGAUUUAUAAAAACAAAUGAAAUUUCUUUAGUCCAUGAAA